This 486-nucleotide ribosomal RNA is filed under the name uncultured bacterium. RNAcentral describes it as "bacterial SSU rRNA". It matches the Rfam family "Bacterial small subunit ribosomal RNA", at positions 28 to 507 of the family's 1533-position model. The record is from RNAcentral.
GAUGAACGCUAGCGGCAGGCCUAACACAUGCAAGUCGAGGGGCAUCGCGGUGCAGCAAUGCACUGGCGGCGACCGGCGUACGGGUGCGUAACGCGUAUGCAACCUGCCCCGCACCGGGGGAUAGCCCGCCGAAAGGCGGAUUAAUACCCCAUGGUCCCGGGGGCCCGCAUGGGCAUCCGGGUAAAGCCUUGGCGGUGCGGGAUGGGCAUGCGUGCCAUUAGCUGGCUGGUGGGGUAACGGCCCACCAGGGCAACGAUGGCUAGGGGGUCUGAGAGGAUGGUCCCCCACACUGGUACUGAGACACGGACCAGACUCCUACGGGAGGCAGCAGUGAGGAAUAUUGGUCAAUGGGCGGAAGCCUGAACCAGCCAUGCCGCGUGCGGGAUGAAGGCCCUACGGGUUGUAAACCGCUUUUCCCCGGGAAGAAUAACCCCGAUGAGUCGGGGGAUGCCGGUACCGGGGGAAUAAGGAUCGGCUAACUCCGUG